This is a non-coding RNA of Phrynosoma platyrhinos (Desert horned lizard), 72 nucleotides long. The record is from the annotation of a GenBank genome assembly. Lineage: Eukaryota; Metazoa; Chordata; Lepidosauria; Squamata; Phrynosomatidae.
GCCAGGGUGGUGUAGUGGUUUGAGAAUGUGACUGUGGCUCUGGAGACUAGGGUUCAAAUCCCCGCUCAGCCA